RNAcentral lists this ribosomal RNA (253 nucleotides) under uncultured bacterium. Its description in RNAcentral is "partial 16S ribosomal RNA". It matches the Rfam family "Bacterial small subunit ribosomal RNA", at positions 524 to 776 of the family's 1533-position model. The record is from RNAcentral.
UACGGAGGGUGCAAGCGUUGUUCGGAAUCAUUGGGCGUAAAGAGCGUGUAGGCGGCCGGGUAAGUCAGAUGUGAAAUCCCUUGGCUUAACCAAGGAAGUGCAUUUGAAACUACCCGGCUUGAGUACGGGAGAGGGAAGUGGAAUUCCCGGUGUAGAGGUGAAAUUCGUAGAUAUCGGGAGGAACACCGGUGGCGAAGGCGGCUUCCUGGACCGAUACUGACGCUGAGACGCGAAAGCGUGGGGAGCAAACAGG